This 821-nucleotide ribosomal RNA is filed under the name Salmonella enterica subsp. enterica serovar Szentes. Its description in RNAcentral is "partial 23S ribosomal RNA". It matches the Rfam family "Bacterial large subunit ribosomal RNA", at positions 476 to 1296 of the family's 2925-position model. Lineage: Bacteria; Pseudomonadati; Pseudomonadota; Gammaproteobacteria; Enterobacterales; Enterobacteriaceae. The record is from RNAcentral.
CUGACUGACCGAUAGUGAACCAGUACCGUGAGGGAAAGGCGAAAAGAACCCCGGCGAGGGGAGUGAAAAAGAACCUGAAACCGUGUACGUACAAGCAGUGGGAGCACCCUUUUGGGUGUGACUGCGUACCUUUUGUAUAAUGGGUCAGCGACUUAUAUUCUGUAGCAAGGUUAACCGUAUAGGGGAGCCGUAGGGAAACCGAGUCUUAACCGGGCGUUAAGUUGCAGGGUAUAGACCCGAAACCCGGUGAUCUAGCCAUGGGCAGGUUGAAGGUUGGGUAACACUAACUGGAGGACCGAACCGACUAAUGUUGAAAAAUUAGCGGAUGACCUGUGGCUGGGGGUGAAAGGCCAAUCAAACCGGGAGAUAGCUGGUUCUCCCCGAAAGCUAUUUAGGUAGCGCCUCGUGAAUUCAUCUCCGGGGGUAGAGCACUGUUUCGGCUAGGGGGCCAUCCCGGCUUACCAACCCGAUGCAAACUGCGAAUACCGGAGAAUGUUAUCACGGGAGACACACGGCGGGUGCUAACGUCCGUCGUGAAGAGGGAAACAACCCAGACCGCCAGCUAAGGUCCCAAAGUCAUGGUUAAGUGGGAAACGAUGUGGGAAGGCCCAGACAGCCAGGAUGUUGGCUUAGAAGCAGCCAUCAUUUAAAGAAAGCGUAAUAGCUCACUGGUCGAGUCGGCCUGCGCGGAAGAUGUAACGGGGCUAAACCAUGCACCGAAGCUGCGGCAGCGACGCUUAUGCGUUGUUGGGUAGGGGAGCGUUCUGUAAGCCUGUGAAGGUGGCCUGUGAGGGUUGCUGGAGGUAUCAGAAGUGCGAAUG